ACCUGGGUAGCUCAGUGGUUGAGCAUCUGCCUUUGGCUCAGGCGUGAUCCAGGAGUCAUGGGAUCACAUCCCAUAUCGGGCU
This 82-nucleotide transfer RNA is filed under the name Canis lupus familiaris (dog). It matches the Rfam family "tRNA". Rfam says of the family: Transfer RNA (tRNA) molecules are approximately 80 nucleotides in length. Their secondary structure includes four short double-helical elements and three loops (D, anti-codon, and T loops). The record is from Rfam by way of RNAcentral. Lineage: Eukaryota; Metazoa; Chordata; Mammalia; Carnivora; Canidae. RNAcentral also lists the same sequence under 1 other name.